RNAcentral lists this ribosomal RNA (486 nucleotides) under uncultured bacterium. RNAcentral's name for it is "bacterial SSU rRNA". It matches the Rfam family "Bacterial small subunit ribosomal RNA", at positions 501 to 985 of the family's 1533-position model. The record is from RNAcentral.
CUACGUGCCAGCAGCCGCGGUAAUACGUAGGGGGCAAGCGUUAUCCGGAUUUACUGGGUGUAAAGGGAGCGUAGACGGAAUGGCAAGUCUGAAGUGAAAUACCCGGGCUCAACCUGGGAACUGCUUUGGAAACUGUUGUUCUAGAGUGUUGGAGAGGUAAGUGGAAUUCCUGGUGUAGCGGUGAAAUGCGUAGAUAUCAGGAAGAACACCGGAGGCGAAGGCGGCUUACUGGACAAUAACUGACGUUGAGGCUCGAAAGCGUGGGGAUCAAACAGGAUUAGAUACCCUGGUAGUCCACGCCGUAAACGAUGAGUGCUAGGUGUUAGACCCUUUCCGGGGCUUAGUGCCGCAGCUAACGCAUUAAGCACUCCGCCUGGGGAGUACGACCGCAAGGUUGAAACUCAAAGGAAUUGACGGGGGCCCGCACAAGCGGUGGAGCAUGUGGUUUAAUUCGAAGCAACGCGAAGAACCUUACCAGGUCUUGAC